Molecule: long non-coding RNA, 440 nt
Organism: Oreochromis aureus
Lineage: Eukaryota; Metazoa; Chordata; Actinopteri; Cichliformes; Cichlidae
Source: Ensembl
GGCCGAUGAUGCUGGUCGAUGUGGAAAAAAUAACUGAGUUGUUUGGUGGUGGAGCUACAACAGAGGGCAGCUAUCCACCGGUGUGUGACAGAAAGGACAUGCCGCGAACGAGACAUACAAGGCGGUGAGGCUACUGCCGAUCGUCCGGUGUUUGCUAACGCGGAGGUCAAUCGUGGAUCAGGGAAAGCGAAGGCAGGAGCGUGAGGUGAACUGAAUUUCAGGUAAGAAGUUAUGACCUGCAGUCUAUUUGGGUCAGAUAUAAACCGAGUUUAGGUGUAGUUUAUUUAGCAACAGUUCUCUUACGUGUUGCUGAUAGCCGGCUGGCUAGCUAGCUAGCGCAGCUAGCGACCCUUCGUGAAAAACCACCCAGGCUUGACUGAUAGUGAGGUGGCUAAAAUUUGUUUAAUCGCCCGAUCGCUCGGCAAGGGUCUGUGUCUUAG